Molecule: non-coding RNA, 633 nt
Organism: Cebus imitator (Panamanian white-faced capuchin)
Lineage: Eukaryota; Metazoa; Chordata; Mammalia; Primates; Cebidae
Source: the annotation of a RefSeq genome assembly
AUGCAAAGCAAUCAGGAAGAACCAGCCCCUGGGCCUGGGGAAACUGUCAGGAGCAGUGACAUCACAGGAAAAACCACCAACCAGGGCCAAGGAGACCAGAGCCCAGCCCCUCGCCCAGAGGAUCUCAGUCAGAGGCCCCAUUUCAGACCCCAGGCUAGCAUGGGCUGCAGGCUGCUCUGCUGUGCGCUGCUCUGCCUCCUGGGAGCAGUCCCCAUGGACACCGGAGUUACCCAGACACCAAAACACCUGGUCAUGGGAAUGACAAAUGAGAAGUCUUUGAAAUGUGAACAACACCUGGGGCACAAUGCUAUGUACUGGUACAAGCAGAAAGCUAAGACGCCACCAGAGCUCAUGUUUGUGUGCAGCUAUAAGGAAACCUCUGUAAAUGAAAGUGUGCCCAGUCGCUUCUCACCUGACUGCUCCGACAGCUCUCAGUUAUACCUUCACCUACACGCCAUGCAGCCAGAAGACUCGGCCCUGUAUCUCUGUGCCAGCAGCCAAGACACAGCCUUGCAGAGUCACUGUCUCCCUGUGCAGAAACCUUUGGGGCCUGGCAGGAAGCUGUGGGGAGCACGGAGGGCUUGGGUGACCACUUCCUGCAAGAGCCCCAACAGAAGCUUCAGAACAUCAUAG